GACGAACGCUGGCGGCGUGCUUAACACAUGCAAGUCGAACGGAAAGGCCUUUUCGGAGGUACUCGAGUGGCGAACGGGUGAGUAACACGUGGGUGAUCUGCCCUGCACUCUGGGAUAAGCCUGGGAAACUGGGUCUAAUACCGGAUAGGACCGCACUUUAGUGUGUGUGGUGGAAAGUUUUUUCGGUGUAGGAUGAGCCCGCGGCCUAUCAGCUUGUUGGUGGGGUAAUGGCCUACCAAGGCGGCGACGGGUAGCCGGACUGGGAGGUUGGUCGGCCACAUUGGGGCUGAGAUACGGCCCAGACUCCUACGGGGGGCAGCAGGGGGGAAUAUUGCACAAUGGGCGCAAGCCUGAUGCAGCGACGCCGCGUGGGGGAUGACGGCCUUCGGGUUGGAAACUCCUUUCGCCAGGGACGAAGCGUUUUGUGACGGUACCUGGAGAAGAAGCACCGGCUAACUACGUG
This 463-nucleotide ribosomal RNA is filed under the name uncultured bacterium. RNAcentral's name for it is "partial 16S ribosomal RNA". It matches the Rfam family "Bacterial small subunit ribosomal RNA", at positions 28 to 507 of the family's 1533-position model. The record is from RNAcentral.